UGUUUCCUACGGGAGGCAGCAGUGGGGAAUAUUGCACAAUGGGGGAAACCCUGAUGCAGCGACGCCGCGUGAAGGAAGAAGUAUUUCGGUAUGUAAACUUCUAUCAGCAGGGAAGAAAAUGACGGUACCUGACUAAGAAGCCCCAGCUAACUACGUGCCAGCAGCCGCGGUAAUACGUAGGGGGCAAGCGUUAUCCGGAUUUACUGGGUGUAAAGGGAGCAUAGGCGGUGAUGCAAGUCAGAAGUGAAAGCCCGCAGCUCAACUGCGGGACUGCUUUUGAAACUGUAUGA
This 290-nucleotide ribosomal RNA is filed under the name uncultured bacterium. RNAcentral's name for it is "partial 16S ribosomal RNA". It matches the Rfam family "Bacterial small subunit ribosomal RNA", at positions 333 to 640 of the family's 1533-position model. The record is from RNAcentral.